GAUCUUUUCUGUUCUAAGACUAACGUCUUAAUAUCCGAUUACAGCGAUUGGAGCUAUAUUUGCCGCAACGGAUUCUGUAUGCACACUUCAGAUAUUAAGCCAGGACGAAACCCCUCUACUCUACAGUCUCGUAUUUGGGGAGGGCGUGGUCAAUGACGCUACGUCUGUGGUGCUUUUCAAUGCUAUUCAAAGCAUAGAUCUCAGCAACAUUGAUGCAAGAGUUGCUAUACAUUUUCUUGGGAGCUUCUUUUAUCUGUUUUCGACGAGCACUCUACUUGGAGUAUUUGUUGGGCUGCUGAGUGCUUAUAUAAUCAGAAAGUUAUAUUUUGGCAGGUAUAUAUCUCUGGAAUUGUUCUUCAUUUAGACCCUUCUCUUGGUGUAUUCUUAUGCAUUAGUAGGUGACCAACAAGUAGCUUGUGGCAGUGCAAUCAUUUUUUCAUCAUGCUUUCAUAAUUCCAAGUAAAGUUCCAUUUUCAAUAGUUACAAGAAUAUUGACGAUUAUUAUUGUAACAACCCAAGCCCACCGCUAGCAGAUAUUGUUCUCUUUAGGCUUUCCCUUUCAGGCUUUCCUUCAAAGUUUAUAAAGCGUGUCCGCUAGUGAGAGGUUUCCACACCCUUAUAAAGAAUGUUUCGUUGUGGGAUUUCACAAUUAUGUUCAUAUUUGUUGAAAUGAUUAUAUAUGAUAACUCUCAUUUUAAGCUUCGAAAAGAUACACACCGGGGGUGGAGAUGGGAUGGGAACUCUAAUAGCAGAAAAUCUUAGUUAGCAGAUAUUAUAAGUGUGUCUUAUGUGUAGAUGACCUUUCUUUUCAGAUAUAUUGUUGUGAAUGUAAUCUGUGAACGGUUUGGUGGUCGUCUGUCGUUAGGAGACAUUUAGUUAGUACAAGAUGUUGCACGGUUAGGUGAUCAUCUAUCGGAAUUAGUCGAGUUGCUCAUAAACAUAGUCUAAAU
Cucurbita pepo subsp. pepo (vegetable marrow) is the source of this 950-nucleotide non-coding RNA. The record is from RefSeq and is a predicted model, not a curated record. NCBI's taxonomy places the organism in Eukaryota, Viridiplantae, Streptophyta, Magnoliopsida, Cucurbitales, Cucurbitaceae.